Molecule: ribosomal RNA, 447 nt
Filed under: uncultured bacterium
Lineage: Bacteria
Description: bacterial SSU rRNA
Rfam family: Bacterial small subunit ribosomal RNA
Source: RNAcentral
GUCCAGACUCCUACGGGAGGCAGCAGUGGGGGAUAUUGCACAAUGGGGGGAACCCUGAUGCAGCGACGCCGCGUGGGUGAAGGAGUAUUUCGGUAUGUAAAGCCCUAUCGGCAGGGAAGAAGCAAGACGGUACCUGACUAAGAAGCCCCGGCUAACUACGUGCCAGCAGCCGCGGUAAUACGUAGGGGGCGAGCGUUAUCCGGAUUCACUGGGUGUAAAGGGAGCGUAGACGGCCAAGCAAGCCAGGGGUGAAAGCCCGGGGCCCAACCCCGGGACUGCUUUGGGAACUGUUUUGCUGGAGUAUGGGAGGGGUAAGCGGAAUUCCUGGUGUAGCGGUGAAAUGCGUAGAUAUCAGGAGGAACACCGGUGGCGAAGGCGGCCUGCUGGACUGCAACUGACGUUGAGGCCCGAAAGUGUGGGGAGCAAACAGGAUUAGAUCCCCUCGUA